ACCCAGCUGGCUCAGUCGGUAGAGUGUGAGAUUUGAUCUCGGGGUUGUGAGUUCAAGCCCAUGUUGAGUG
Molecule: transfer RNA, 70 nt
Filed under: Canis lupus familiaris (dog)
Lineage: Eukaryota; Metazoa; Chordata; Mammalia; Carnivora; Canidae
Also listed under: 1 other name
Rfam family: tRNA
About the family: Transfer RNA (tRNA) molecules are approximately 80 nucleotides in length. Their secondary structure includes four short double-helical elements and three loops (D, anti-codon, and T loops).
Source: Rfam by way of RNAcentral